RNAcentral lists this ribosomal RNA (253 nucleotides) under uncultured bacterium. RNAcentral describes it as "partial 16S ribosomal RNA". It matches the Rfam family "Bacterial small subunit ribosomal RNA", at positions 524 to 776 of the family's 1533-position model. The record is from RNAcentral.
GACGAACCGUCCAAACGUUAUUCGGAAUCACUGGGCUUACAGAGUUCGUAGGCGGUCUGGAAAGUUGGGUGUGAAAUCCCUCGGCUCAACCGAGGAACUGCGCUUGAAACUACCAGACUCGAGGGAGAUAGAGGAAAGCGGAACUGAUGGUGGAGCGGUGAAAUGCGUUGAUAUCAUCAGGAACACCGGUGGCGAAGGCGUCUACCUGGACCGGUUCUGACGCUGAUGCGCGAAAGCGUGGGUAGCAAACAGG